AUUGAACGCUGGCGGCAUGCCUUACACAUGCAAGUCGAACGGUAACGCGGGGCAACCUGGCGACGAGUGGCGAACGGGUGAGUAAUGUAUCGGAACGUGCCCAGUUGUGGGGGAUAACUGCUCGAAAGAGCAGCUAAUACCGCAUACGACCUGAGGGUGAAAGCGGGGGAUCGCAAGACCUCGCGCAAUUGGAGCGGCCGAUAUCAGAUUAGGUAGUUGGUGGGGUAAAGGCCCACCAAGCCAACGAUCUGUAGCUGGUCUGAGAGGACGACCAGCCACACUGGGACUGAGACACGGCCCAGACUCCUACGGGAGGCAGCAGUGGGGAAUUUUGGACAAUGGGCGCAAGCCUGAUCCAGCCAUGCCGCGUGCGGGAAGAAGG
RNAcentral lists this ribosomal RNA (382 nucleotides) under uncultured bacterium. Its description in RNAcentral is "bacterial SSU rRNA". It matches the Rfam family "Bacterial small subunit ribosomal RNA", at positions 29 to 414 of the family's 1533-position model. The record is from RNAcentral.